CAGCAGCCGCGGUAAUACGUAGGGUGCAAGCGUUAAUCGGAAUUACUGGGCGUAAAGCGUGCGCAGGCGGUUUAAUAAGUCUGAUGUGAAAGCCCACGGCUCAACCGUGGAGGGUCAUUGGAAACUGUUAAACUUGAGUGAAGGGGAGAGUGGAAUUCCAUGUGUAGCGGUGAAAUGCGUAGAUAUAUAGAGGAACACCGGUGGCGAAAGCGGCUCUCUGGUCUGUAACUGACGCUGAGGCUCGAAAGCGUGGGGAGCAAACAGGAUUAGAUACCCCAGUAGUCCCUGUCUCUUAUACACA
Molecule: ribosomal RNA, 301 nt
Filed under: uncultured bacterium
Lineage: Bacteria
Description: partial 16S ribosomal RNA
Rfam family: Bacterial small subunit ribosomal RNA
Source: RNAcentral